CUUUGACAACUGGACGCCUUUGCCGCAGUUGGAGCAAGUGAAGGGCCGUCUCCUGCUGGCACCC
Long non-coding RNA from Amblyraja radiata (thorny skate), 64 nucleotides. RefSeq lists it as uncharacterized. The transcript has 3 exons. The record is from RefSeq and is a predicted model, not a curated record. Lineage: Eukaryota; Metazoa; Chordata; Chondrichthyes; Rajiformes; Rajidae.